GAUGAAAGCGGGGGCUUCGCAAGAACCUCGCGCGAUUGGAGCGGCUGAUAUCAGAUUAGCUUGUUGGUGAGGUAAAAGCCCACCAAGGCGACGAUCUGUAGCUGGUCUGAGAGGACGACCAGCCACACUGGAACUGAGACACGGUCCAGACUCCUACGGGAGGCAGCAGUGGGGAAUUUUGGACAAUGGACGCAAGCCUGAUCCAGCAAUGCCGCGUGCAGGAUGAAGGUCUUCGGGUUGUAAACUGCUUUUGUACGGAACGAAACGGCUCUUUCCAAUAAAGGGGGCUAAUGACGGUACCGUAAGAAUAAGCACCGGCUAACUACGUGCCAGCAGCCGCGGUAAUACGUAGGGUGCGAGCGUUAAUCGGAAUUACUGGGCGUAAAGCGUGCGCAGGCGGUUAUAUAAGACAGAUGUGAAAUCCCCGGGCUCAACCUGGGACCUGCAUUUGUGACUGUAUAGCUAGAGUACGGUAGAGGGGGAUGGAAUUCCGCGUGUAGCAGUGAAAUGCGUAGAUAUGCGGAGGAACACCGAUGGCGAAGGCAAUCCCCUGGACCCGUACUGACGCUCAUGCACGAAAGCGUGGGGAGCAAACAGGAUUAGAUACCCUG
RNAcentral lists this ribosomal RNA (611 nucleotides) under uncultured bacterium. Its description in RNAcentral is "bacterial SSU rRNA". It matches the Rfam family "Bacterial small subunit ribosomal RNA", at positions 199 to 789 of the family's 1533-position model. The record is from RNAcentral.